UACGUGGGGUGCAAGCGUUGUCCGGAAUUAUUGGGCGUAAAGAGCUCGUAGGCGGUCUGUCGCGUCUGCUGUGAAAACUCGGGGCUUAACCCCGGGCCUGCAGUGGGUACGGGCAGACUAGAGUGCGGUAGGGGAGACUGGAAUUCCUGGUGUAGCGGUGAAAUGCGCAGAUAUCAGGAGGAACACCGGUGGCGAAGGCGGGUCUCUGGGCCGUAACUGACGCUGAGGAGCGAAAGCAUGGGGAGCGAACAGG
RNAcentral lists this ribosomal RNA (253 nucleotides) under uncultured bacterium. RNAcentral describes it as "partial 16S ribosomal RNA". It matches the Rfam family "Bacterial small subunit ribosomal RNA", at positions 524 to 776 of the family's 1533-position model. The record is from RNAcentral.